RNAcentral lists this ribosomal RNA (468 nucleotides) under uncultured bacterium. Its description in RNAcentral is "partial 16S ribosomal RNA". It matches the Rfam family "Bacterial small subunit ribosomal RNA", at positions 28 to 507 of the family's 1533-position model. The record is from RNAcentral.
GAUGAACGCUGGCGGCGUGCUUAACACAUGCAAGUCGAACGGAAAGGCUCCAGCUUGCUGGAGUACUCGAGUGGCGAACGGGUGAGUAACACGUGGGUGAUCUGCCCUGCACUUCGGGAUAAGCCUGGGAAACUGGGUCUAAUACCGGAUAGGACCGCACUUUGGUGUGUGUGGUGGAAAGGUUUUUCUGGUGUGGGAUGAGCUCGCGGCCUAUCAGUUUGUUGGUGGGGUAAUGGCCUACCAAGACGGCGACGGGUAGCCGGCCUGAGAGGGUGGACGGUCACAUUGGGACUGAGAUACGGCCCAGACUCCUACGGGAGGCAGCAGUGGGGAAUAUUGCACAAUGGGGGAAACCCUGAUGCAGCGACGCCGCGUGGGGGAUGAAGGACUUCGGGUUGUAAACUCCUUUCGCUAGGGACGAAGCUUUUUGUGACGGUACCUGGAGAAGAAGCACCGGCUAACUACGUG